GACGAACGCUGGCGGCAUGCCUAACACAUGCAAGUCGAACGGGGAUAUUUAUGAAGCUUGCGAUUAAAUAUCUUAGUGGCGGACGGGUGAGUAACACGUGGAUAACCUACCUCGGGUUGCGGGACAACAGUGGGAAACUGCUGCUAAUACCGUAUAACAUUGUUUGGUUGCAUAACUAGACAAUCAAAGGGGGCGUAAGCUUCUGACACGAGAUGGGUCCGCGGCCCAUUAGCUAGUUGGUGGGGUAAAGGCCUACCAAGGCGACGAUGGGUAGCCGGCCUGAGAGGGUGAACGGCCACACUGGGACUGAGACACGGCCCAGACUCCUACGGGAGGCAGCAGUGGGGAAUAUUCCGCAAUGGACGAAAGUCUGACGGAGCAAUGCCGCGUGAGUGAUGAAGGCCUUUGGGUCGUAAAACUCUGUCUUCGGGGAUGAAACCAGUAUAGGCUAAUACCCUAUACUAUUGACAGUACCUGAGGAGGAAGCCCCGGCUAACUACGUGCCAGCAGCCGCGGUAA
Molecule: ribosomal RNA, 519 nt
Filed under: uncultured bacterium
Lineage: Bacteria
Description: partial 16S ribosomal RNA
Rfam family: Bacterial small subunit ribosomal RNA
Source: RNAcentral